CCCUUAGAUGUUCUGGGCUGCACGCGUGCUACACUGAUAUUGCCAAUAUGUCAUUCUUAUCCGAAAUGGAUUGGGUAAUCAAGUAAUGAUAUUUCAUGCUUGGAAUCGGUAAUUGCAAUUUUAUCGUGAACGAGGAAUUCCUAGUAAGCACUAGUCAUCAGCUAAUGUUGAUUAUGUCCCUGCCCUUUGUACACACCGCCCGUCGCUACUACUGAUUGGGUGUUCAAGUGAGAUGCUUAGACCCUUGUUGCAUGGUUCAUUAUUGUGCUCCGAAAGGAAAAAGUUUCAAGCUUGAGUGUCUAGAGGAAGUAAAAGUCGUAACA
This 323-nucleotide ribosomal RNA is filed under the name uncultured eukaryote. RNAcentral's name for it is "partial 18S ribosomal RNA". It matches the Rfam family "Eukaryotic small subunit ribosomal RNA", at positions 1470 to 1796 of the family's 1831-position model. The record is from RNAcentral.